UACAGAGGAGCCAAGCGUUGUCCGGAAUUAUUGGGCGUAAAGAGCUCGUAGGCGGUUUGUCGCGUCGAAUGUGAAAACCCGGGGCUCAACCCCGGGCCUGCAUUCGAUACGGGCAGACUAGAGUUCGGUAGGGGAGUCUGGAAUUCCUGGUGUAGCGGUGAAAUGCGCAGAUAUCAGGAGGAACACCGGUGGCGAAGGCGGGACUCUGGGCCGAUACUGACGCUGAGGAGCGAAAGCGUGGGGAGCAAACAGG
RNAcentral lists this ribosomal RNA (253 nucleotides) under uncultured bacterium. RNAcentral describes it as "partial 16S ribosomal RNA". It matches the Rfam family "Bacterial small subunit ribosomal RNA", at positions 524 to 776 of the family's 1533-position model. The record is from RNAcentral.